This 505-nucleotide ribosomal RNA is filed under the name uncultured bacterium. RNAcentral describes it as "partial 16S ribosomal RNA". It matches the Rfam family "Bacterial small subunit ribosomal RNA", at positions 28 to 507 of the family's 1533-position model. The record is from RNAcentral.
GACGAACGCUGGCGGCGUGCCUAAUACAUGCAAGUAGAACGCACAGUUUAUACCGUAGCUUGCUACACCAUAGACUGUGAGUUGCGAACGGGUGAGUAACGCGUAGGUAACCUGCCUGGUAGCGGGGGAUAACUAUUUGAAACGAUAGCUAAUACCGCAUAAUAUUGAUUAUUGCAUGAUAAUUAAUUUAAAGGUGCAAUUGCACCACUACCAGAUUGACCUGCGUUGUAUUAGCUAGUAGGUGAGGUAACGGCUCACCUAGGCGACGAUACAUAGCCGACCUGGGAGGGUGAUCGGCCACACUGGGACUGAGACACGGCCCAGACUCCUACGGGAGGCAGCAGUAGGGAAUCUUCGGCAAUGGACGAAAGUCUGACCGAGCAACGCCGCGUGAGUGAAGAAGGUUUUCGGAUCGUAAAGCUCUGUUGUAAGAGAAGAACGGGUGUGAGAGUGGAAAGUUCACACUGUGACGGUAUCUUACCAGAAAGAGACGGCUAACUACGUG